This 32113-nucleotide long non-coding RNA is filed under the name Vitis vinifera (wine grape). RNAcentral describes it as "long non-coding RNA (VVIN_LNC001392)". Lineage: Eukaryota; Viridiplantae; Streptophyta; Magnoliopsida; Vitales; Vitaceae. The record is from RNAcentral.
GGUGGCUUCUCUCCCUUAGGUGGUUUGCCAACUGGGGUUGGUGGCUUGUAUGAGUCUUCAGCAUUCUCAGCAGGAGGGUGACCAGGGUUGUGACCAUAAUGUGGUGGCUUCUCUCCCUUAGGUGGUUUGCCAACUGGGGUUGGUGGCUUGUGUUCUGGGAGUGGCUUCUCCCCCUUGGGAGGUUUUUCCAAUGGGGUUGGUUUGUGUUCAGGAGGUGGCUUCUCCACUGGAGGCUUGUGUUCAGGAGGUGGCUUCUCCACCGGAGGCUUGUGUUCAGGUGGUGGCUUCUCCACCGGAGGCUUAUGCUCUGGUGGUGGCUUCUCGAAUGGGGGAUGCUUAGGAUAAUCAGCAAGUGAGGGGGCGGUGAGAACCACCAGGCCAAGCAACACCACUAGCAAAUAUGUAGGAGACAUCUUUGGGUUUGGGCUCAGAUGGUGCAAAACUAGGAGAAUUGGCUAGCCUUUUAUAGCGGAUCGUACCCAAUAAUGAAAUGACACGUGUCAUUAUGACCCAUGUGUAAUGGGGUCGAUUUGGGUCCUACAGUGUUGAAAACUUCGACAUCCACUUUUGGCCUUUUGCUUUCUCUACAGCCGCCUUGCUUUUUCCCUCUUUCCUUUUGUUUUCCUCCUGCCCCAUUCUAUCAACUAAACACAAUUAUGUAGUUGUUUAAUUCUUAAAUGAGAUAUUAUCCGUCAAUCGUAUUAUAUUUUAUCAAGAGAGAACGGAGUGCAAUGUGGCUGUAAUUUUAUCGUUUAGUUUUAUCUCUUGGACCACUGCAUUUUUGUUAAGAGGUGCAAUAAUACACGUCUUUAUCUGCCAUUCAAUAUUUACAGUAAAGAGAGGGCACAAAACUCUUCACUUCGCACCAUAAUUAUUUUGUUUUCUGGACACCCCGGGGCCCUUUGGUUGGUUUGGGGGUCAGAAAGUGAACAUCAUAGGGGGUUUUUCCCUUAUGUGCAUUUGUAUCUGAUGGCUUUAACUCGCCUUGUUACUACAAAGAAACUGUCACAGAUAGGAACUUAUUCCAGGCUGAGUAUCUCCUCAUAGACCCUAUAAAAGAAGACAAGUCAUAAUGAACAUCUAACCUUUGUUCAAUUUGAUUCAAUGCCCCCAUUGUGUCCAUCUCACAAAUCUGAAUUAUUAUAUCCAUUGAAUACAUAAAUUAAUGAAGAAAAUAUGAAACCCAAGAUACAUCUCUGCACAACCUCAACCCUGGUUGCUAUGUUUCCCUUCUAUUCACAUGAUUUGAUGCUAAUUGCCAAACUUGCAACAAGCCCUGAGUUUGACACCUAGUAUCGAUGGGCGAAUUUAAAGUCUCCUCCAAACAUAUAUUCCACAGCUUGAAGCUCACAGAAGAUGUUACAGGCAGGGAAAAACCUUCAGAGUUCGCUACCAAAGAUAAUUAUUAAGGAGAUAUCACAAAGAGAAUUCCAAGGGGUCUGAAUCAAAGACAAAUUGGUCGUUCGUGGGGGUUCUUACUUUCUUUUGGGUAUAACUCACUGAGGGCACUGUCUUUGUUAUUUGCAUUUCACAUUUAGAGUUCUGUUCUGGAAACAUAUAAAAGGAGCAUCAUUUUGUUCUUGGGUAACCCAUAGUCGUGAGUGGGUCCAUUUGCAUGCUACUUAGUUGAAAAGUUGGACCAUUUGCUCCGACGCCUACCUCCCGGAUUCCAUGCUCGGAUAAAACAAGAAUAAAAAAAAUAUUUAUAAUUUACAAAUGGGGGAAAGAAAAAAAUGUCAACAACAAACCAGGAAAAAAGAGUAGUAAAAUUCAUGUCACAUGCUAGUGAGAGAAGGGGUUGUUACACUCACUCGAAGUUCUUUCCAAAAUAUCGCAUGGUAUUUUAUUUUAUGUGUCAGCGCAGUUGUGAAUGGAACGUGCAAAAGUCCAAAUUGGCGUUUUUCCUUUUCCCGUGUAGGAUGGCGACCUUUAAUAAAUAUUUAAAACAAAAAACGAAAAAAAGGAGGGAAAAGGGAUCAGAAAAGAUAAAACAAUGUGUACAAGAGCUCAAUUAGUUUGCAAAUUACUGUUUGGAUUUUGAUAGUAUUUUAUUUGUCCAUCUAUAUUUGAUGGAAAAGAGAAUUUAAGAUAUUUCUGAAACAAAAGCAUUAGUGUAAAACUAAAUUAAGGUAUAAUUAAGUUAGUUCAAUGCAUUAAUUUAAGAAACUUGAUCUAUCCAAAGUACAAAAUUAGAUGAAAUCCAUUUCAAUGGUUAAAAUGAUCAAAAUCAAACUUUUUCUAAGUAUUUUUUAAAAGCAUCAAUAUUAAAAGACAAUUUUAUAUUUAGUCGGAGUUUGGACAAAACCAAAAAGCACACAAAAUCCAAGCGACCAUCUCUAGCUUGGAUAGUCACUUGAUCCCACCUAGAGAUGUGCAUGAGUAAAAGGAUUUGAAAAUGGAAAUUGACUAAAUAUUUAGUUGAUCAAUUAAAUUUGCAAUGUCAUAUGCAAUCCUAAUAGCUAGUCAUCUAAUCAAUUAGGUAGUCAAUCAAGUGUUUGUAAUGACUAUUUUGUACAAAAAACCACAUGUAUAGUUAAAUAUAAUGCAUUUCAUUUAUAAAUCUUCUAAUUCUUGAAUAACGAUCCUAUCAUCCUUUGAAAAUUUUUAUUACACCUUUUUUACUUUUGUUCUAAAACUUACAUAUCACCCUUAAUUGUACCAUGAGAACCUAGCUAUUUUUUUUUUUUUUGUAAUUCAUCAAAGUUAGCUUUUGUAUUCAUUGUUGUAUUAUUUUUAGUAUAACUUAGAAAGCUAGUGUUUUCAAGUGAGUAAAAUUAACUUGUAAAUAUUGUAAAGAUUCAUUGAUAUGUAUCUUAAACUAAGUGUACAAAUUAAAACAUUUGCUAGUAGAUUUUCUCAAAAUUUAGAAUAGAGCUUGAGGCUAUUGAAAUAGGUGGGGUUACACCAAACCACAUCACAUCGUUGUUUGCACCUUUUUUCACUCUCUUUUACUUAGUUUCUCUAUAUUUGUUGUCUAGUAAUAUCCUAUAGGCUUGAUGGGUUAGGGAGCAUCCCUUUGUGAAAAAAUUUCAUUCAAUUCUUAGUUGUAUUACGCAUAUAUAAAAUGCCUCAUUGUUUUAAUGGUAUUCAGUCGUGGCAUCACAGAUAUGGGCAUCUAAAUUUUAAAAGUUUGAAACUUUUGUAAAGCAUGUUGAUAAAAUCCAUGAGAGUUGUGUACUUGGGAAGCAACAUCGAGGUGACUUUAUUUUUUUUUCCUUUUAUAAUGCCACACCUAAGUCCGGUUUCUAAAUGCUAAAGUGAAAGGGUAGGUAUGGACCAUUGAAAUGUGAUCACAACUUUUGGCCUUUUCCUUUCUCUGCAGCCAUGUUGUCUCUUUUUUCUUUUGCAUGAUUUUCUUACCAAAACAGAAUCAUAGACUUGUUUAGUCUCUAAGCUACUAUAUUAUAUCUCGGUGGACUUUUAAGAGUGCAACCGACAUAGAGCACAUGCAAGUGGGCAUAUGGGACAUGAAAUUUCUUCUUACAAAGAUUGCAUGAUUUUUAUAUUAGAGUUGUUCACGUGCAAUGUAUUUAGCUUGUUUUGCAGUUAAAUUAAUUGGAUAAGUAAACAUUGGCAUUUCUAAAUCGACUGUGAAGUGCUUCAUGUACGUGUAAAGUAUUAGAAAUUUCUUUCUUGGCAACUUGUUUUUUCCUUGCCAUCUACUGGUAGGUUUGACUAAAAUUAUAUUCCCUGUCAUGCUAAUUAAUUUUCAUGUGCAUGCUCAAAAGAAGAGUAUGACCUUAGUGCACCAAAAUCACUUUGAUUAAUUUGUGAUAGGUUUUUUUGCAUCAUUUAGAUAAUGUUUAGUUCUAAGAAAAAUUUAUAUAAAAAUGGUUUAUUUAUCUUACAUAUAUAUAUAUAUAUAUAUAUUUUUUUUUUUUUCAUUUUUUUUUCUUCUAUUUUAUUUAUUUAUUUUAUUUUCCUUAUGUUUUCCUCACAUUUUCCGGAACUAAACAUAGUCUUACGAAAUCAACAAUUGCCUUCAACUGAGUAGAUUCUGUUGUUUUAGCAAUGUUAGGCUGCUAACUUGUGGUGGUACGAACCAAAUGACCCAUGUUAAUCUUGGCUUGGUUUGAUUUGGCUCUAUCUCAGAGAGCUAAAGGAUCACGUCAACUCUGGUUUCUACUAUUCAGGUCCAUUCCCAGAUGAACUGGUUCAAAUUUGAGAAAAUGGUAACAGACCUUUAGUGAUGUUGGUUUGGAGCCAGUUGCCAAACCCGCCCUGAGCUUUACCACUAAUGUCAAGGGAGAAAGCCAUUUGAACAAAAACAAUAGCUUCAAGAGACUGAAUCGUGGAUGAAAUCUGAUCCACAUUUCUUCUCAUUUUGGGAAAAAAUGAGAACUUAACUACAAAGAUUCUACUGCCUCAUUCAUAGUGCUUUUCCUGAUCCAAGGUUGGUUCGUUUCCCAAAUUGUGAGGUGCACGUGCCACUCUCACGCUCAGGAGUGUAUCCACGUGGUGGACAUCAGAUGGUGGCUUAAUAUCUGGUGUCGGUGGCUUUACUUUACUAGGAGAGUAGUGUGUCUUCAUCUCAUUCACUGCCGGAGGGUGGCGUAAGCAGUGACGCUAAGGUGGGGCACAGUCAAUAUCAUUUGCAUUUGACCAUUAUAGUUUUCUCCCGGCUUGAAAGUAACCUUAUCGUGAUAAAGGAUUACUAGCACUAGUUCAGAUGACCGUCAUGUUAAUUCGGACCAUGUUUGUGUCACAUUAUCAGCAACCAUGUGUUUAUGGUUCAUGCUAUCUGCAACUAAACUUGAUAUAUAACCAGGUGAACUUCAAUCAAAAUUCUGGAAGUACUCUUGUGAUAGAUGGUGCCUGUCUGCAGAGUCCAUCAAUUGAAAAAUGGAGUGAGUGUAUCUAUAAGAGGGAAGGCUUGGCAAAUGUUCAGUUUUCUGGGAAUUCAACAAGGAUCUAAAAUAGAUUGUUUUCUUUGCCGACUUCAAUGGUUGAAAUUUGAGAAGAUUGUGUCCACAUAUCACAACUAUUACUGGUCCUUCUGUUGCAAUUUAUCCUGUAAGGCUCUAACAUGUCUUCCAAUUCCCACUUCCCUGUUACUCCAGGAAAGCUAUUUCUGUCAUUGUGAAGAAGAAAAGAGAAUGUACAUAUCGAUGCUUUUAAGUGACUGGAGCAUUCAUAUCAGGUGGUCUGCAGCCAUAUAUGCCACUUUGUGAAGGUUGGAACAGUCAAUCACUAGGCUAUAUAUUGGUGUGGCCCAGCCACUUCAAUCAAGGACAAGUCUUCAUACUUAAAGUCAAAUUCUGCCUUUAGUCUCAUUAUAAAUUGCUGUUUAAAUAUUAAGCAAACUUUUGUUUAAUGCGAUUAAGACAGUACUAACUCAAUACUUGUUCUAUUUUUGGAUGCAAAUGCUUGAUGGUUUCAUCAUUGGAUGGGAUAAAGGUGCAUUCAUGAUUAUGAAUACUUGUAGUUAUAUUUUCAUUCUCUUUUUUCUCAAUGAGACUUGUUGGCACAAUGUUGCUGUUCAGAAACCUACCUCUCCAUGGAAAAUAAGUUGCGAUUGAUAGUACUGGAUAUGUUCAAGAAAGCUAAAUAUAGAUAGCACAAAAUAUUAUCGAUAUAAAUAGCAUUAACAGCGUACGUAUGUCUCAAUGCUCAUCAGCUAUAAGCAUGGGACAAACACUUACUAUGAGCAACUUACGUCAAAAUUCCAGAAUAGGACAUAGAAGUGACAGAUCUAUAUAUAUAGAACACUGCAUAUGAGUCACAAGAAAGGAAAUUACGGGUGCAUAGCAGCUCUUAUUUUACAUACUACUACUCAUACUGAUCAAAGUCACUCAGUUGGGAUGGGUGGGAGUAGGAGGUUUGUGGGGUGGCUUGUGCGGAGGAGUUGGCAGCUUCUUUCCAGGACCUGGUUGCUUCUCUGCUGGAGUUGAAGGAGGCUUAAUCUUCCGAGGUGGCUUGUAUGAGUCUUCAGCAUUCUCAGCUGGAGGGUGACCAGGGUUGUGACCAUAAUGUGGUGGCUUCUCUCCCUUAGGUGGUUUGCCAACUGGGGUUGGUGGCUUGUAUGAGUCUUCAGCAUUCUCAGCAGGAGGGUGACCAGGGUUGUGACCAUAAUGUGGUGGCUUCUCUCCCUUAGGUGGUUUGCCAACUGGGGUUGGUGGCUUGUGUUCUGGGAGUGGCUUCUCCCCCUUGGGAGGUUUUUCCAAUGGGGUUGGUUUGUGUUCAGGAGGUGGCUUCUCCACUGGAGGCUUGUGUUCAGGAGGUGGCUUCUCCACCGGUGGCUUGUGUUCAGGAGGUGGCUUCUCCACCGGAGGCUUAUGCUCUGGUGGUGGCUUCUCCACCGGAGGCUUAUGCUCUGGUGGUGGCUUCUUGAAUGGGGGAUGCUGAGGGUAAUCAGCAAGUGAGGGGGCGGUGAGAACCACCAGGCCAAGCAACACCACUAGCAAAUAUGUAGGAGACAUCUUUGGGUUUGGGCUCAGAUGGUGCAAAACUAGGAGAAUUGGCUAGCCUUUUAUAGCGGAUCGUACUCAAUAAUGAAAUGACACGUGUCAUUAUGACCCAUGUGUAAUGGGGUCGAUUUGGGUCCUACAGUGUUGAAAACUUCGACAUCCAGUUUUGGCCUUUUGCUUUCUCUACAGCCGCCUUGCUUUUUCCCUCUUUCCUUUUGUUUUCCUCCUGCCCCAUUCUAUCAACUAAACACAAUUAUGUAGUUGUUUAAUUCUUAAAUGAGAUAUUAUCGGUCAAUCGUAUUAUAUUUUAUCAAGAGAGAACGGAGUGCAAUGCAGCUGUAAUUUUAUCGUUUACUUUUAUCUCUUGGACCACUGCAUUUUUGUUAAGAGGUGCAAUAAUACACGUCUUUAUCUGCCAUUCAAUGUUUACAGUAAAGAGAGGGCACAAAACUCUUCACUGCUCUGCAUGUGUCCCAAAAAUGCGAUUGGACAAAUUAUGAUUUGCAUGCUAAAAAGAGGCAAAUGAGGUUAAUUCGCACCAUAAUUAUUUGGUUUUCUGGACACCAUAAAAAGAUGUUAUACAGGCAGGGAAAAACCUUCAGAGUUAGCUACCAAAGAUAAUUAUCAAGCAGAUAUCACCAAGAGAAUUCCAUAGAGUCUGAAUCAAAGACAGAUUGCUCGCUCGUGGGGGUUCUUACUUUCUUUUGGGUAUAACUCACUGAGGUCACUGUCUUUUUUAUUUGCAUUUCACAGUUAGAGUUCUGCUCUGGAAGGUUUGUUCUGGAAACAUAUAAAAGGAGCAUCAUUUUGUUCUUGGGUAACCCAUAGUCGUGAGUGGGUCCAUUUGCAUGCUACUUAGUUGAAAAGUUGGACAAUUUGCUCCGACGCCUACCUCCUGGAUUCCAUGCUCGGUAAAACAAGAAUAAAAAAAAAUAUAUAAUUUACAAAUGGGGGAAAGAAAAAAUGUCGGAAAAAAUAGUAAAAUUCAUGUCACAUGCUAGUGAGAGAAGGGGUUGUUACACUCACUCGAAGUUCUUUUCAAAAUAUCGAAUGGUAUUUUACUUUAUGUGUCAGCGCAGUUGUGAAUGGAACGUGCAAAAGUCCAAAUUGGCGUUUUUAUUUUUCCCAUGUAGGAUGGUGACCUUUAAUAAAUAUUUAAAACAAAAGACGAAAAAAAAAAGGAGGGAAAAGGGAUCACAAAAGAUAAAAUAAUGUUUACAAAAGCUCAAUUAGUUUGCAAAUUACUGUUUGGAUUUUGAUAGUAUUUUAUUUGUCGUUCUAUAUUUGAUGUAAAAGAGAAUUUAAGAUAUUUCCGAAGCAAAAGCAUUAGUUUGCUCUGUGAUGUCCCACAUCGAAUAGGGGAGAAAGUUUCUGGCGCUAUAUAUGUAGAGGCUCCUCUUAACCAAGUAGAUGCGUUUUAAAACCAUGAGGGCCCCCUUAGGUCCAAAGCGGACAAUAUCUACAUGAUUGGGUGUAAGUCAUUACAAAUGGUAUCAGAGCCGAUCCCCGACCCCGGUGUGGGGGUUUGUUUGGCCCUGUAAGGGGUGUUUGUCUGUUUGACCCCACAAUCCCAUGGGACACAACGAGGACGUUGUGUCUGCAUGGGGGGGCGUUUGUGAUGUCCCACAUCGGAUAGGGGAGAAAGUUCCUAGUGCUAUAUAUGUAGAUGUUUCUCUUAACCAAGUAGAUGCAUUUUAAAAUUGUGAGGGCCUCUUUGGGCCCAAAGCGGACAAUAUCUACAUGGUUGAGUGUAAGUCAUUACAUGCUCCAUGUCAAUUUCAGCAUUUCUCAUAUGUUUCACACAUACACAGAAGAGCAUCGUUUUUUAAAGCAUGCAUUUAUGUUGGAUUAAUUUGGAUUUUGUGGGAACUGGGGCAAGGAUCACAUGGAAGAGAGGUUGACUUUUUUCAGUACUUCAAUGGUUGAAAUAUGUGAAGGCUUGAUUGAUACUAAAGCUUGAAAUUGCGACUCUGUCAUUUGUAAAAAAAUAUGACAGCUUCCAUGCUCUCGUUUGGUUGCAUUGUCCGGUCGAGAGGUGCAAAAAGCAUUCUCUCUCUUCUAAUAGUCUUUUCGUUUAAAUCAAGGGAUUUGCCUUCCCGGUCGAGGUCCAAUAGAGGGUAACGGUCACCUACUAAACAUUAAAUGCUCCAACAACUAGUGAACUGAUCGACCCCAGCUCGACUAGUUGAGGUUACUUUUUGGUUUUCUUGUCUCCCGAGGUUAGAAACCUAUAAAUAGAGAGCUUCACUUCAUUUAUGAGUAAGAGAACACCUAAAUUUAUUUGUUUACCUACUUGUUUUUGCCAUAAAAGCUCUCAUUUCUUUUCUUGGUGUAUUAAAUCUCCAUUUGCAUAUCCUUUAGUGCACCUUUGUGAUUCAUUCUAGCCUUGAGUUGUAUUUAAGCCUUUGUUGAGCUAGGUUGAGAGUUUCAUACUUGUUUAUUGAGUGUUAAAGCCUUCAAGUGAGUUAAAACUUGAAGAGAUUGUGUAAGAGCCCAUUGGAGUCGGAAUCCAAGUGUAAAGGUGAUUAAAAGCUUGGUUGAAGCUUCAAGUUAGUGGAACUCUCACUCGGUUAUGAGCUUGAGAAGAGUGGACAUAGACAAGGCAGUGUCGAACCACUAUAAAAUCUGAGUUUGAUUUCUCUAACCUUAUCUCUUUAUAUUUGCUUCUCUUGUGCUUAAAUUUUUUGUGUUUAAAAAGAAUUUUUAAAAACUCAAUUCACCCCCUUCUUGGGAGUUUUUCUCUUUUAAGAUCAGCUUUUAUUUUCUCAAUUGGUAUCAGAACUAUGCCUCUUGUUUAAGACUUAAUCGUCUAAGAGGAAAUGGCUAAUCCAUCAAGUUCAUCUCACAUUGAAAGUUUUGCAACCAAUAGACUUCUUUUUUUUUUUUUGCGGGAACUGAUUAUCCCUAUUGGAAAACUAAAAUGACUUGGUUUUUACAAUCAAUUGAUUUAGAUGUAUGAGAUGCCAUUGAAGAUGACCUAACUUUUCCUUCAAAACUAGUUGAUGGAGUCAUGGUUCCAAAACCUAAGCAAGAAUGGGAUGAGCGUGAUUGAAGAAAUUUUCAAUUAAAUGCUAAAGUCGUUUAUACUUUGCAAUGCUCUAUGGACAGAAAUGAAUAUAAUAGAAUAUGUCAAUGCAAAUCGGUUAAAGAAAUUUGGAGAUUGCUUGAAAUAACUCAUAAAGGAACAAAUCAAGUUAAAGAGUCAAAAAUCAAUUUACUUGUUCAUAGAUAUGAAUUGUUUUUUAUGAAAGAUAAUGAAACUAUUGUUAAGAUGAUCACUAGGUUCACCAACAUUGUUAAUGGUCUUAAAGCCUUGGGAAAGACCUACAAGGAAUCCGAAAACGUGAUGAAGAUCUUGAGGUCACUUCCAUCAAAGUGGCAUACCAAGGUCACCGCAAUUUAAGAAGCAAAAGACUUGAUCAAGCUACCUUUGGAGGAGUUCAUAGGGUCAUUGAUGACAUAUGAAAUCAAUUUGGCAAAGAAGUAACAAAAAGGUGAAGACAAAAAGAAGAAGAACAUAACUCUCAAAGCUACAACUAAGGAAGAAGAAGUUGAAGAAGAAAAACAAAUUGAAGAAGAUGAAGAUUUAGCCCUCAUCACAAGAAAGUUCAACAAAUUCAUGAGGGGUGAAAGGUUUAGAAGAAGAAGGUUCACUUCUAGAAGAGACUUUUCUAAAAAGGAAUCUUCAUCUAAUGGUGACAAAAAGAGAUGGGAAGAGAAAAGAGACUUGGUGUGUUUCAAGUGCAAGAAACCGGGACACAUUAAAUAUGAUUGUCCUCUCUACAAAAGUGAAGUCAAGAGGAAAAAGAAUAAGGCAAUGAUGGCCACUUAGAGUGAAAGUGAAGAUGAAUCAUCCGAAGAAGAAAAUGAGAAAGAAGUGGCAAACAUGUGUUUCAUGGCAAUAGAUGAACUUGAUGAGGUAAAAUCUAACCUUAGUGAUUAAGAUAUACAUGAUGCAUUUGAAGAAUUGUAUGAGGAUUUUUAAAAACUUAGUUUGAAAAAUAUUUCUCUUAAAAAGAAAGUUCAACAACUUGACAAAGAACUUAGAGAAGUAAAAGAAAAAUUUUCAAAUGUUAAAGUUUCUAAAACUCAUCUUGAAAAAGAAAAUGAGAUUCUAAGAAAGAAAAAUGAAUAGUUGAACUCCUCUCUUUCAAUCUUUUCUUCUAGACAAAAAUCUUUUGAAAUGAUUCUAACUAGCUAAAAAUGUGUUUUUGACAAACAAGGGUUAAGAUUUAAAUCUUCAAAAAAUCAAAAGUAUUUUAAAAACUAUUUUGUAAAGGAAUCCACAAGUGCAAGUCCUUCCACUACUUGCAACUUUUGUGGAAGAGAAUGGCACAUUAGUAGUACGCCCUUUAAGAAAUGGUUCUCAAAAGAAUUUAAAUGCAAAAACUAAAAAAGAUUUGGAUUGAGAAAUCCAAGGUCACUAACCCUCAAGGACCCAAAAAGAUAUAGGUACCUAAAUCAACUUGAGUUUUAUGUUGUAAGGUUCAAAGAAUGAUAAGUGGUUCUUAGAUAAUGGUUGCUCAAGACACAUGACCGGAGAUGAAUCCAAGUUUGCUUUUCUUAAAAAGAAAAAUGGAGGAUAUGUUACCUUUGGAGACAAUGCAAAAGAAAGGAUGAUUGGUCAAGGCAACAUUGGUAAUGGCACAUCCUCUCUCAUUGAAAGUGUUUUAUUAGUAGAUGGUUUCAAACAUAACCUUUUAAGCAUUAGUCAAUUUUGCGACAAAGGUUUUUAAGUGAUUUUUUAAGCAUCUCAUUGCAUCAUCAAGGAUAUUCAAAAUGAUAAAACCAUUUUCAUGGGCCAUAGAUGUGAUAAUGUUUAUGCUAUAAAUAUUUCAAAAUAUGAUGGCCAUGAUAGAUGUUUUUCAAGCAUGCAUGAUCAAAGUUGGUUGUGCCAUAGGAGAUUGAGACAUGCUAACAUAGACCUCAUUUCCCAACUCAACAAAGAUGAACUUGUUAGAGGCCUUCCCAAAAUAAUUUUUUAAAAAGAUAAAGUUUGUGAAGCUUGUCAAGUGGGAAAGUAAAUCAAAAACUCUUUUAAAAACAAAAACUUCAUUUCCACAUCUAGGCCACUUGAGUUGUUGCAUAUGGAUUUAUUUGGUCCCUCUAGGACACCAAGUCUUAGAGGAAAUUCUUAUGCAUAUGCUAUUGUGGACGACUUCUCUAGAUACACAUGAGUCUUGUUUUUUAGUCAAAAGAAUAAAGUUUUUUAUGAGUUUUCAAAGUUUUGCAAUAAGAUUCAAAAUGAAAAAGGUUUUUCAAUUACUUAUAUAAGAAGUGAUCAUGGGAGAGAAUUCGAAAAUAUUGAUUUUGAAGAGUAUUGCAAUGAGCAUGGAAUUGACCACAAUUUUUUGGCUCUUAGAACUCCUCAACAAAAUGGGGUAGUUGAAAGGAAAAAUAGAACUCUUCAAAAAAUGACAAGAACCAUACUAAAUGAAAACAACUUACCAAAAUAUUUUUAGGCCAAAACGGUUAACACUUCUUGUUAUGUUUUAAAUAGAGUAUUAUUGAGGCUCAUACUUAAGAAAACUCCCUAUGAGCUUUGGAAAAACAAAAAACCCAACAUUAGUUAUUCCAAAGUCUUUGGAUGCAAUAUUUUAUAAUAAACACCAAAGACAAUCUUGGAAAAUUUGAUGCAAAAUUGGAUGUUGGAAUUUUCCUUGGUUACUCAACUUCAAGUAAAGCUUUUCGAGUUUUAACAAAAGAACCAUGGUUGUAGAGGAGUCCAUCCAUGUUAUUUUUUAUGAAUCUCCAAGAAAGAGAGAGGAUUGAUGAUGAUUUAGGUUUGAAGACCUCUAUAGGAAGAUUGCAAAUCGAAGAUAGAAGACAACAAGAAGAAAAUGGAGAGAAUCCAAAGAAAGAAGGAUCACCAUUGGCACUACCCCCUCAUCAACAAGCGCAAGGUGAAUCAAGUCAAGAGCUUCCUAAAGAAUGGAAGUUUGUCAUCAAUCACCCACAAGAUCAAAUUAUAGGCAAUCCAUCUAGUGGGGUAAGAACUAGAUCCUCUCUUAGAAAUAUUUGCAAUAAUCUAGCUUUUAUCUCUCAAAUUGAGCCUAAAAAUAUAAAUGAUGUUUUAGAUGAUGAAAAUUGGAUAAUUGCAAUGCAAGAAGAGUUAAAUCCAUUUGAAAGAAGUGGAGUAUGGGAAUUAGUACCAAGACCUUCAAAUCAAAGUGUUAUUGGAACUAGAUGGAUCUUUAGAAAUAAAAUGGAUGAAAAUAGCAUAAUUGUUAGAAAUAAAGCAAGAUUGGUAGCCCAAGGUUUUAAUCAAGAAGAAAUGAUAGAUUAUGAAGAAACCUUUGCCCCCGUAGCUAGGUUGGAAGCCAUUAGGAUGCUACUUGCCUUUGCAUGUUUUAAAGACUUUGUUUUAUAUCAAAUGGAUGUGAAAAGUGCUUUUUUAAAUGGUUUUAUAAAUGAAGAAGUAUAUGUUGAACAACCACCCGGUUUUCAAAGUUUCAACUUUCCUAACCAUGUUUUUAAACUUAAAAAGACACUUUAUGGUUUGAAACAAGCACCUAGAUCAUGGUAUGAAAAAUUGAGUAAAUUUCUUUUGAAAAAAAUGUUUUAAAAUGGGAAAAAUUGACACAACUCUUUUUAUAAAAACCAAAGAAAAUGAUAUGCUCUUAGUUCAAAUAUAUAUUGAUGAUAUCAUUUUUGGUGCUACUAAUGUCUCUCUUUAUGAAGAAUUUUCUAAGUGCAUGCAUAGUGAGUUUGAAAUGAGCAUGAUAGGAGAACUCAACUUCUUCCUUGGACUUCAAAUCAAGCAACUAAAGGAAUGAACCUUCAUCAAUCAAGCAAAGUAUAUAAGAGAUCUUCUCAAAAGGUUCAACAUGGAAGAAGCCAAAACAAUGAAGACUCUAAUGAGCUCAUCCAUUAAGCUUGAUAAGGAUGAGAAAGGUAAAUCCAUUGACUCUAUUAUGUAUAGAGGCAUGAUAGGUUCUUUGCUCUAUUUGACCACUAGUAGACCUUACAUUAUGUAUAGUGUGUGUUUGUGUACUAGAUUUCAAUCUUGUCUUAAAAAAUCUCACUUAAGUGUCGUGAAAAGAAUCCUCAAAUAUUUGAAAGGGACAAUGGACAUAGGCUUAUGGUAUCCUAAGAGUGAUAACUUUGAAUUAAUUGGUUUUUUGGAUGCUGAUUUUGUCAGUUGUAGGGUUGAAAAAUAAAACACUAGUGGCACUUUUCAUUUCUUAAGACACUUACUUGUCUCAUGGCAUAAUAAGAAGCAAAAUUUGGUAGCUUUGUCAACAGCAGAAGCUAAAUACAUAGCAACUGGUUUAUGUUGUGCACAAAUCCUUUGGAUGAAAUAAACACUUAGUGAUUUUGAUUUAUCUUUUGAGCAUAUUCCUAUUAAAUGUGAUAAUAGUAGUGCCAUAAGUAUAUCAAAAAAUCUCGUGCAACACUCUAGGACUAAGCAUAUAGAGAUUAGACAUAAUUUUCUUAGAUAUCAUACACAAAAGGAUGAUAUAACACUUGAAUUUGUAAGCAUAAAAGACCAACUUGCCGAUAUCUUUACAAAACCUCUAAGAACAUUUUGUUGAUAUUAGAGGACAAUUAGGAGUGAUUUCUUUAUGAUCUAAUGUGAUGAAUUCUUGAUGAAUAUACUUUUUGAUUGCAUGAAUUUCAUGUCAUAUAUGCAUCAUAUAGAAAUAUACUUAGAUAAUGGUCAAAUUUCGACCAAAAAUCAAAAUUCCCAUGGCAUUAGGCAUAAAAAUUUUGGAAUUUCAACUGAAAAUGGUAGGAGGAGGAUCACAAAAUGAGAAAGUAUGCAAAAAUUGAAAAAUCAAAACGUUGACCAAGCGGUCAAUCGGACUAGACCGAUCGACUAGUUUGUCGAGAUUUAGGAUUUUUAAGAGACUCCAACGCUUCAAUUUUUGCACCGUUCUCCUCUAUUUCUUCACGGUUUCUCUGAUUUUGUCUUUUAGAGACUAAUUUGAGUGCGUUUUGGAUCAAUUGAAGCAUUUUGGAUUGGAUUUUAGGAAGAUUGAAAGUUAAGGUUUCGGAUUUGGGUCGCCUUCUCUUCCUCUCGCGUGUCACAAUCAGCUUUAGCAUUGUUCUCUUUCCAUUUUCACACACCUAGGGUUUCAGUUGUGAGCAUCUCUCUCUCUUUACCAACCACUACUCCCUUGCUUCUUCCAUAUGGCUCCUAGGCGAGAGUCCGCUACUUCUAGGGCACAAGGCAAGCACCCAACUGAGUCGUCUCAGUCAAAGGCACGUCGAAAAGUGAGAUUUGACAUUGCCUUGUUCAGUUCCAUGGAGGACUACCAACUAUACAAGCAACACUUUGCUUAGAGACGAGUAGUUCCCAAGAGAAAUAUUAAUUUUCCUCAACUUCAGCAUUUCGAAUUUAAGGGUCUAUUUACUAGGAUGGUUGGUUGUCUAUUGUCACAAUUUCGGAGCCGGUUUUCCUGACCUUAGUGCGAGUUUUUUACUCGAGGGCGACUUAUGGCAUGGGUGGCAUGAUCAUUUCUACUGUUGGAGGAGUUGAGAUCUGUCUGGACCCAGAGAGCAUCUGCCAUAUUUUCGAUAUUGCUCUGGUUGGACUCAAAGUAUACAAGUCCAAAAUGUGGCCCAUUGUGCCAGGAUUUGAGCUUAGAGAGGUCAUUCAGAGGAUUUGUGAACUUCCAGACGCCCAGGAGAUGGGCAAACCAUUGCCACACAGUUUGACGGUCAUCAACAGGGUGCUACACCAUAUAUUGUGCUCUAUCUUUCUACCACGAAGUGGACAUUGAGAUGAGGUCUCUUAUUAUGAGGCAUUCCUUAUUGACUCCAUUCUAACGGAGAGACGAAUUCAUCUACUAUGUCAUCAUUCACUAAGCCUCCUCACAGUGACAUACCACCUCAUCAGGCACCUCUUGCUCCUGACCAUGCUCCAUUGAUGGAUUUAUUUACUCAUAUUAGCUCUCUAGGCACUCGCAUGAAGGAGUUUGUUGUAGUUAGUGAUACAUGGUUCUACUCCAUAGAGGAUCGCAUGGAUCAGUAUCAGACUGGCUUCACGUCACAGUUUGAGUAUCUCCAAUAGAGGAUUGAGCAUAUUGAGGAUCACUUGAGCAUGAGAAGAUGAUGGCUUUUCUAUGCUCUGUGUUUCCACCUCCACCUCGUCAACCUUGAUUUCUUAGAGACCCAUUGUUUUCAUUUUGUAAUGUUGCCAAAAGGGGGAGAUAUUUAGGAUCUAGGACUCUAUAGGAGACUUACAUGCAUAUCAUUUUCAUAUCAUUGUUUGGAUCGUACAUAUUGGAUAGUGAUACUUUUUACUUAUAUAUGAUAUGCCUAUAUGUUUCAUGUCUUACAUUGUUUCUUAUUGCAAAUUAUCUCUAACAUGUCUUGAUUAUCUUUUUUUUAACUUCAUAAAUUUUGAUUGUUAACCCAUGAUUGGUUUGAGGGGAAGAUUCUUCUUCUCCUAGAUAACCAAGGUUUGUCAUCAUAAAAAAAUUGGAGAUUGUUAGCCCAAGGGUUCUCCUAAUCAUGUUUUGAUGAUAACAAACCAUGCUUAAGUUACUAAUUGGUUUGAAUUAUAAAGAAUUUCAAGUGUUAAUUUGAAAAUUCAUCAAAGAACCUAAUGGAUGCAAGAUCAAGAUUUUUGGAAGACCUUUAAUCAUAAGAAACAUAUGUAAGAUGAAUGCAUGGGUGCACUUAAGAUUUGCAUAUCAUUUCAUGCAUAUUUGGAAAACACGGUUUAUGCUUUAAAGUUACAUUUCCAUCAAAAUUUGAGAUCCAUCAAAUGAACCUUAGGAAAAAUGUUUUAAAAUUGGCAUAUAAUUUUACCUAAAGACCUUGCCUAAGUGUUAGAAGCAAAAGGACAAAAAAAAUAUAGGUUUUCUGGUCAAAAAUGGUGAACCAGUCAAGGCAUUGUCUAAAUCAGCUCAAUCGGCCAAGGUACCGGUCGAUCGGUUUCCCUUUCCCUGUCGAGAUCUAGUCAAGAGGUACAAAAAUCACAAUCUCUGUCUCUUUCUCUCUUUGUCUAUCUUCCAGUAGUCUUUCCUUCCCGGUCGAGGGAUUUGCCUUCCCGAUUGAGGUCCGAUUGAGAGUAAUAGUCACUUGCCAAAUAUUAAAUGCUCCAACAGUUAGUGAACUGGUCGACCCCCACCUUGCCCAGUUGAGGUUACUUUUUGGUUUUCUUGGCUCCCGAUGUUAGAAACCUAUAAAUAGAGAGUUCCACUUCAUUUAUGAGCAAGAGAACACUUGCAUUUAUUUGUUUACCUACUUGUUCUUGCCUUAAAAGCUCUCAUUUCUUUUCUUGGUGCAUUAAAUCUCCAUUUUGAUAUCCUUUAGUGCACCUUUGUGAUUCAUCUUAGCCUUGAGUUGUAUUUGAGCCCUUUUUUUAGCUAGGUUGAGAGUUUCAUACUUGUUAAUUGAGUGUUAAAGCCUUCAAGUGAGUUGAAACUUGUAGAGAUUAUGUGAGAGUCGAUUGGAGCCGAAAUCCAAGUGUAAAGGUGAUUAGAAGCUUGGUUGAAGCUUCAAGUUAGUGGAAUCCUCACUCAAUUAGGAGCUUGAGGAGAGUGGACGUAGCCAAGGAAGUGUCGAACCACUAUAAAAUUUGAGUUUGAUUUCUCUAACAUUGUCUCUUUAUAUUUGUUUAUCUUGUGCUUAAAUUUAUUGUGUUUAAAAAGAAUUUUUAAAUACCCAAUUCACCCCCCUCUUGGGUGUUUUUCUCUUUUAAAAUUAGCCUUUAUUUUCUCACAAACUAUUGUAGUAUAGUGGUUUUUAGGUGUCAUCCAUUAGGAUGAAUUGUUCUCGGUAAUUAAGGCGUGAAUGAGAGGAGAAUUAAUGAUUGUGAUUAAGUAAAAUUGAUUUGAAAAUUCAUGGUGAAAAAUCAAUUUAACAAUGGUUUCUAAUUGAGAAAAACAAUGAAAUGUGAAAUAAAAUAAAAUUAAUAGGAAAUGAAAUUCUCGAAGUUAGAAUUUUCUAAAAAACAAAUUCCAUGGUGAAUGGAUGUUGAGAUCUAAUUUUCAUCAAGUUAGAUUGAAAACCGAAAUUUUCAUAUAAACUGAUUUUUUAUUUAGUUUUAGGUCUAGAUUUAAUUUCCCUUAAAAUUAGGUUAUUUAAUCCAAGAAAUCAAUUCAAAUCAUAUAUUCAAUUCAUCUUAAAUUAUCUUCCAAUUAUUCACACAAUGCAACUAUUCAAUCUCAUCAAAUCUAGCUUUUAAGAAUUUAAUGAAUCUACCUAGUUUGCAUUGUAAUAGUCAUCCAUGACAAUUUGAAGAGAAAAAUAAUUCAAUUAAUCAAUCACUUGGAUCAAAUUACCUUUGCAAUUAAAGUUCAUUUCUCUAAUUCACCACAGAUUUUGUCUCUAGAUCCUCCUUUCUCAAAGAAAAAUGAGAUUUAGCCACACAUGAUUGGAGAUUUGGUCUCAUAAGGCAUGUUUAGCUAGUGAUAAAAUGAGAGAAAAUAAAGAAAAAUAGAGAAUUCGAUUAAGAAAGAAAAUCUAAAAAAUUCUACAAUUAGAAAUGUCCAAAAAGCUUUUUCAUGAGAAAAUCAAGUUUCUAUUUAUAGGCCAAGGUCAAGUGGACACUUGACAUCAUCUAAGAGGUCUUCCGGAAGCUUCUUCAUCAAGAAAUCUGGAGUUUAAUAAUAAAAUGGUCAUUUCACAAGAGCUCAAACAAUUUCGCAUGAUUAUGUGAAAUAAAAAAUGCAACAACAGCAAUUUACAUCUUCUUGGAGCAUUUCGCAUGACUGUGUGAAAUUUUCACAUGAUCAUGUGGAAUCGACUUGACAACUCUCAUUUAGCCUACAACAUAAUUCCACCUUUUGGUCCAUUUUUCAUAGUCAUGCGAAAUGGAAAUAUUUGAUUUUUAAGUUUUCUUUUGUCAUUUCUUUCAUUUCCUUCUCUUGAUUCCACUUCAACUACCUCCGAAUCCUGGUCCAAACCAAUUGCAUUACUUCUUUCAUUAUGCAUUUGGAUCAUCAUCAACAUUAUUUGUUCUCUUCAAUUUGAUUCAUCUCUUUUGUCACCAAUUUAUCAAAAUCAUACCUUGAAAUGACUCCAAAACUUCAUAAAACUUGUUAGUAACUCUUGCAAGGGCAACAACAUAUUAAUUAAGUGUUUUAGGCAUAGUUACUACUCAAAAGAUGCGAAACUCAUGAUAAUUAUUAUAUAAAAUAUGCUCUUUUUGAGUAGUAAUCAACUUUCUUGCAUAAGCAGACCUUUUAGGGUGGAGUACUAAAGACCAAUAUGCUUGUCCUUGUUGUAAUAAAGAAACUUGCUCUUAUUGAUUGCACCAUGGGAGAAAAUUUUGCUACAUGAGUUAUCAUCAAUUUCUUCCCACCAAUCAUAGAUUUAGACGUGACAAGAGGCCUCUUAAUGGCAAGGAGGAACUGACACUCACACUUAUACAAUUAUCGGGCAUUGAUGUGUUGCAACAAUUAGAAUAACUUACACCAAUUAUGUUGGGGAAGUCACAAAAGGCAAACAUGAAAACUAAAAGGAAAAAAGAAAAAUGUUACAUAUCACCACAACUGGAAAGAAAAAAGUAUUUACUUUCAUUUGCCAUAUUGGAAAGCACUUAUUUUACAUCAUAAUAAUUUAGACAUAAUGCAUAUUGAGAAAAAUGUGUGACAAUAUAAUUGAGACAUUGUUCAGUAUUGACGAAGAAACAAGGACAACCUAAAUAGUCAUCUCGAUUUACAAGCUCUAACUAUUAGAAAUGAGAUUCACCCAAUAGAAAGCAGGACCAAAUUUAUUUUGCUUGCAACAUGCUACUCACUCACCCCAAAUGAGAUUAAGGAAUUUUGCAAGUUUUUGAAAUCAAUAAAGGUCCCCAAUGGCUAUUCUUUCAAUAUCUCUCGUUAUGUGCAACUCAAUGAAAGGAAGAUAUAUGAGCUCAAAUUGUAUGAUUGUCAUGUCCUAAUGCAACAACUUCUCUCACUUGUAGUUCGUGGAGUUCUACAUAAGAAUGUUUGUGGAGUUAUCAUAGAAUUGCGUAAUUUUUUCAAGCAAUUGUGCUCAAAGGUGUUAGAAACAAAUCACUUACACCAACUUGAGAACAAUAUUAUUGUCAUACUAUGUAAAAUGGAGCAAAUAUUUCUUCCAUCAUUCUUUGAUAUUAUGGUGCAUUUACUUGUGCAUCUAGUAAGGCAAAGGUUGCAAGACUUGUGCAAUAUUGUUGGAUGUACCUAAUUGAACGAUAUUGUUAUAAUUUCAUAUGAAUCAUUUAAUUUUAUUUUAUAUUAUGUUCAGUUCAUUAACAUGUACAUUGGUCUACAUAUGGAUGAUGAUAGGUACCUAAGCACUUUAAAGUCAUAUGUGCGUAAUAGAACUUUUCUAGAAGGUUCUAUUGUAGAAAGGUACCUUGCAAAAGAAUGUACAACAUUUUAUUCUAGGUACUUGAAUGAUGUGGAAAUAAAGUAUAAUCACAAUGAUAGAAACUUUGUUGGUUUCAACACUAGAGGAGAUGAAAGGGGUUAUCUUUAAACAUAUUGGACAUGCAUUGGGAAAGCCCAUAUUUCAUUAACUUAGUUCAAAAGAGUGGUCACAAGCACAUUUAUAUGUGUUGACAAAUUGCGAAGAUGUCAUACCAUUCAUUGAGUAAAAAAUUUAUUUGAAUUUUAAUUAAAGCUCUAGUUUAUAUCCUUAAUCAAUGUUUUUUAAAUUCACAAGGAGCACAAGCAAACCAUCAAGGCUAGACCACAUAUACGUGUUUGAGACGUAGAUUUAAUUCAUAACAAGGAAUUUAUCAAGUGGUUUGAAAGACAUGUAAGUAUAUUCCUUAUUAUAAGGGAUUUAUUUCACAUUAUGUUUAUAUUGAAUCCAAACCUAUUAUUGAAUUGUAGGUUGAACAAUUACAUAAUGAAGGUCAUAUAUCUGAACACCUUCUCACAUUAUCAUGUGUUCCAAAUUCAUUAGUUACAUGCUUCAAAUGAUAUAUUGUCAAUGGAUUUAGAUCCCACAUUAAAGAACGUGAUAAAAAAGUUUUUAAAAAAAGACUCAGAAUAAUGGAAUUGUUGUAGUUGCAAAAACGUCAAGCUUUACAAGUGCAUGUGAUAUGAGUCCAAUUAUUAGUGAUGCUCUCUACUAUGGUGUUCUAACUAAAGUUGUUGAGUUACAUUAUCUUGGUGAAAAUAAGGUUGUUUUAUUCGAGUUUGAUUGGUGGGAUGUUACAAAUAUUGGAAAAUUGAUAAAAGAUGAUGAGUACAAUUACACAUUUGUUAACUUUGCAUGAAUUCUAACCACGAACGAACGAUUUGUACUUGCAUCUCCAGCAAAGUAAGUGUUCUAUGUGAAGAAUGCGAAUGAAUCAGAUUGGCAUACUAUCAUGGAGAUGCAACCUCAAGACCUCUAUAAGAUGAACGGGAUAGGAUCCAAUGGUGAUUUUGAACCAUUUCAACAAAGUGAACUACAUGAUCACUAAUAUAUCUCAGAUUUAGUUGAUGAAGAUAUAAUCAAGUGGAACAAAAGUGAUGUUUUAGGACUAAUCAUCCUAAAAAAUAUUGUAGUUUCUUAAAAAAAAAAUGAAAAUGAAGAAGAUAAUUGAACCUUUGUCAUACUUUAAAAAGCAACUAUGCAUUGUUCAUUUUGUAUGUUUUGGUUUUCUUCAUUUAAUUUCCUGAUUUUUGUGAUUCAAUGUCAUAUUAUUGAUCUUGAAAUAUUUUUCUAAUUUUUCAUUCUACGAUGGUUUCAACAAGGAUGACAUCAAGUCAAAAAAGGAAAUGUGGUCCCACACACAAUAUUGCAUUACAGGGAUUAAGGUCAGGGAAGAAGGUAAAAGUUGCAUUUAAUGAGUACAAUCAAUUGGUUAAACAGAAAAAUGGAAAACACUUAUCGAGCUACAUAGGGACACUUGUAUCUAACCAACACAAUGUACCUCUCCAAGCUAGUGAUUGGAAAAAUGUUCCAAAUGAUGCAAAAGAGAAAGUAUGGCCUUUGUUUUGGUAUGUUGUAUUUCUCACUAUAUGAUGUCAUUUCACUGUUAUUCUAUUUUGUGACUAACGUUUGAAUCAUAUGUAAGAAAAAUUUGAAGUAGAUAAAGACUGAAAAGAUUACAUGUUGGGUAUAGCCUCAAAUAAAUAUAGAAGCUAUAAAAAUAUGAUGAAUGCAAAAUACUAUGACCCUUGGCAUAAGGAUGCAUGAGGAGAGGUUAAUACAUAAAUCACCAUUUGUCUCUGAUGUUGAUUGGAAGUGGCUUGUCUCUGAUGCAUAAACCAAAUCCCCCACUGAAUGUUUGAUAUUUGAUAGCAGGAAAAACACACCCGCAGCUAUACACCUCCAUCAUUCAGAUAAUUAUAGUGGGGGAGAUGAUUCAUGGUUGCCCUUAUACCCUUUAUUUGCACCAUCUAUUGAGAUUCUUUAUCAUGGCCAGGUUUUACUGCAGCAAUAAGAUAUGGUGGCAACAAUUUUAUCUAUAGGUGCGGUUCCAGACCGCCUCCAUAGGUGCGGUUCCUGACUGCCUCCAUAGGUGCCUCUUCUUGUAAUGUUUGUUCUGGGAAUUACACUUGAAAGCCUUAUCGUGAUAAGGGAUUACAAACACUAGUUCAGAGGACAGCCAUGUUAAACUUCCACUAUGUUUGUGUCACAUUAUCAGCAGCCUAGUGUUUAUUGGUCAUGCUAUCUGCAACUAAUAUAACCCGGUGAACUUCAAUCUAAAUUCUGAAAGUACUCAUGUGACAGAUGGUGCCUUUCAGCAGAUAUCAUCAAUUUAAAAGUAGUGUGUGUGCCUAUAGGUGGGAAGGCCUUGGCAAAUGUUCAGUAUUCCGGUAAUUCAAGAAGGAUAUAUCUAAAAUAGAUUUUCUUCUUGCCCAUUUCAAUAGUUAAAAUUUGAGAAGAUUGUGUCCACAUCACACAAAUAUUAUUGGUCCUUCUGUUGCAAUUUACCUCUGAACAUGUCUUCCAAUUCCCACGGUCCUGUUACUCCAGGAAAACUAUUUCGGUCAUAUUGAAAAAAAAAAUAUUAAAGAAGGUACACAUGCUUUUAAGUGGACUGGGGCAUUCAUAUCAGGUGGUCUGUAUCCACAUAUGCCACUUCGUGAAAGGUGGAACAGCCUAAUCACUAGGCUAUUUAGUGUGGCCCAGCCACGUUAAUCAAGCACAAGUCUUCAUACUUAAAGUCAAAUGGUGUCUUUAGUCUCAUUACACAUCGCUAUUUGAAGAUUAACUCAUCACUAGUGUAAUGCGAUUAAGACAGUCCUAACUCAAUAUUUGUUCUAGUUUUGGAUGCAAAUGCUUGCUGGUUUCAUCAUUGGAUGGGAUAAAGGUGCAAUCAGGACUAUGAAUACGUGCAGUAAUACUUCAUUCUCUUUUUUCUCAAUGAGACUUCUUGGCACAAUUUUGCUGCUCAGCAACCUACCUUUCCAUGGAAAAUCAGUUGUGACUGAUAGUAAUGGAUAUAUUCUAGAAAGCUAAACAUAGAUAGCAUUCAAUAUUAUCGAUAUAACAUUAACAGCGUAUGUCUCAAUGCUCAUCAGCUACAAGCAAUGGACAAACACUUUGAGUAACUCACAGCAGUCAAAAUUCCUAAACAGGACAGACGUGACAGAUCUAUAUAUAGAACACUGCAUAUGAGUCACAGGAAAAGAUAAUACGGGUACAUAGAAGCUCUUAUUUUACAUAUUACUCAUACUGAUCAAAGUCGCUCAGUUGGGAUGGAUGGGAGAAGGAGGUUUGAGGGGUGGCUUGUGCGGGGAAGUUGGCAGCUUCUUUCCGGGAGCUGGUUGCUUCUUUGCUGGAGUUGAAGGAGGCUUAAUCUUCCGAGGUGGCUUGUAUGAGUCUUCAGCAUUCUCAGCAGGAGGGUGACCAGGGUUGUGACCAUAAUGUGGUGGCUUCUCUCCCUUAGGUGGUUUGCCAACUGGGGUUGGUGGCUUGUUUUCUGGGAGUGGCUUCUCUCCCUUGGGUGGUUUGCCAACUGGGGUUGGUGGCUUGUGUUCUGGGAGUGGCUUCUCCCCCUUGGGAGGUUUUUCGAAUGGGGUGGGUUUGUGUCCUGGUGGUGGCUUCUCUCCCUUGGGAGGUUUACCAAUUGGGGUCGGUGGCUUGUGUUCUGGGAGGGGCUUCUCUCCCUGGGGAGGUUUAGUGGGUGGCUUGUGUUCUGGAGGUGGCUUCUCCACCGGAGGCUUAUGCUCUGGUGGUGGCUUCUCGAAGGGGGGAUGCUCAGGGUAAUCACCAAGUGAGGGGGUGGUGAGAACCACCAUGCCAAGCAACAACACUAGCAAGUAUGUAGUAGACAUCUUUGGGUUUGGACUCAGACAGUGCAAAACUACGAGAAAUCGCUAGCCCUUUAUAGCGGCUCGGACCUAAUACUGACAUAAUAUAAAAUAAAUAUUAUAUUUUAUCAAGAGAGAACAGAGUGUAAUUUUAUCAUUAAUACCGAUCGAGGCCAAAGAAAGAAGACCCAUAAUCCAUUUCCCACAAGCAUACACAAUGCAGCUGUAAUUUUAUCAUUUACUUUUAUCCCUUGGACCACUGCAUUUUUGUUGAGAGACACAAUAACACAUUUUUAUCUGUCAUUCAACAUUUACAGUAAAGAGAGGGCACAAAACGCAAUUAGAUAAAUUAUGUUUUGCCUGCUAAAAAGAGGCAAAUAACUUUAUUUGCAACAUAAUUAUUUUGGUUUCUAGUGACCCCGGGGCCUUUCGGUUGGUUUGGGAUCGGAAAAUGAACAUCAUAGGGGGGGUUGUGCCCUUAUGGGCAUAUAUAUCUGAUAGCUUCAACUGGCCUUGUUCCUAGAAAGAAAUUGCCAAAGAUAUAAACUUAUUCCAGGCUGAAAGUAGAUGAGAGUCAUAAUGAACAUCAACCUUUGUUCAGUUUGAUUCAAUGCCCCCAUAGUGUUCAUUUCACAGAUCUGAAUGAUUAUAUCCGUUGAAUACAUAAAUUAAUGAAGACAAAUAUGAAACCCAAGAUACAUCUCUGCAUAACAACCCCAACCCUGGUUGCUAUGUUUCCCUUCUUCUAUUCACAUGAGGAUACUGGUUAUAAUUGUCAAACUUGCAACAAGCCCUUUGACACCUAACGUCAAUGGACGAAUUAAAAGUCUCCUUCAAACGUCUAUUUCACAGCAUGAAGCUUAUAAAGGAUGCUGACAACCUUCAGAGUUAGCGACAAAAGAUAAUUAUCAAGGAGAGAUAGUUCCAUGAGAAUUCCAAGGAGUCUGAAUCAAAGACAAAUUGCUCACUCAAGGGUUCUUAUUUUCUUUUAGGUACAAAUCUCUUGAGUGUUGUUAAAGAAACACGUCACUGUCAUUUUGAUUUGCAUUUAACAUUUCACUUUUGUUCUGGAAGGUUUGUUCCGGAAACAUAUCAAAUGAGCAUCAUUUUCUUCUUCGGUGACACAUGGUCGCGAGUACGUGGGUCCAUUUUCAUGCCACUUAGUUGAAAAGUUGGAAAGAAAAAACAUGCCAACAAGAAGAUAGUGAGAGAAGGGGCACUUCAAGCCUUUAACAUGAACAAACAGUAAAUAAAAGAUGUUUCUCCACUCAUAAAAGUGUGUUAGAUAGCAAUAUAACGAAUCACAUCCAAAAUCUUUACUAGGCUCAAACAUAAAGAAGACUCAUUUUUAAGAAAAGAUAAAAAUGGCAUUGUCUGAUAGUAUCCAAUACACGAGAUGGCACUUAAUUUGUACAAGAUCUGUCAAUGCUGACGCACAUUUUCUGAUUAAAAAAAAACUGAUCAGUCAAAAGCAAUGAAGAGAAGUGAUGACAAUGAAUGAUGCUUCCAAUAUUUUCACCCCUUAUAGUGUUCUUCAUGAUUCAGAUAUAUAAUUGGAAAUAGAACAACCCUAUGCCAUACAUUCGUCUAAGUAUGGUGUCUAAUUUUUUGUGUCAGCGGUUGCGAAUGGAGCGUGCAAAAGUCCAAAUUGGCGUCUCUCCAUUUCCACAUAGGAAGGUGACCUUUAUUGACAAAUACCCAAUAUUUGUAGACAUUCCUUAAAUAUCAUAACUUCUUGUUGAUUUGAAAAUCAUUUUUCAACUACCAUGUUUUAAUAAAUAUUUUUUAAAAUGUAUUUUUAUCAAAGUCCACCAUGAUGGAUAAUAUUCACCAUGCAAUAAUUAAUAAAGUACAAACUAAGCGAAAUGAAAAGCAUUUUCUUUGCUUUGAGUUGAUUUUGGUUGCAUUGAGUUGAUUUUGGUUUCAUGGUUUUUUCAACUCUUAUUUUGAUUGGAAGAUGUCAAGAAAAGAAAACAUAAAGAAAAAUUAAAAGGGAAAAAAGAAGAAAAAUAAAAAAAAAUAGAUUUAAAAGUUAAUAAAUUAUUUUUUAUAUUUAUUUUAAUUCAUUUCACUUAUUUUUCUUUUACUAUAUAAAAUUUAAAUAAUUUAAAUUUUAUAAUUAAUUUAAUUACAUUUCAUUUUCUUCUAUAUUUAAAUAUUGGAAAAAUAUUUUACUUAAUAUUUUUUUCUUUAAUUUCUUUGGCAUUUUGGGAACCAAACUUAGCCUUUAAAAUAAAAAACAAAAAAAAAAUGAAAAUAAGGAGGGAAAAGUGAGAAAAGAUAAAAACAAUAUGUAAAGGAUUUGAAAAGUAUUAGUUUGUAAUUACUAUUUGGAUUUCAAUAGUAUUUUAUUUGUCUUUCUAUAUUUCAUGUAAGAGAGAAUUUAAGAUAUUCCCCAAGGCAAAGCAUUAGUUACCUGCAAUCAGUGGUGAUAAGGCUCCAAGCCAAUUUUGGGCCCCAUAUCUUAAGACAGUACAAUUUCCAUUUCAACAUUUCUGAUUUCUCAGAUGUUUCACAUACCACAGAAGAACAUUGUUUGUGAAAAUAUGCAUUUAUGUUGGAUUUUGUAUGCUGUGGGGACUGGGGCAAGGAUCAUAUGGAAGAGUGGUUGACUUUUUCUGUACUUUAACGGUUGAAAUAGGAUAAGCACGGGCAUUUGUGAGGCUUAAUUGAUUUUGAAGCCUGAAAUUGCGUUUCUGUCAUUUUGUCAAAAAAAUGGCAGAUUCCAUACUCAUAUGUUUGGCCUGUGGCCAUGUACAGAUGCCAUUUAGUGACCAGUUUGUAACUGUCAAUCGUUGCGUUUUGACUCUGCCUCAACAACAUCUGCCAUUGACGGGUUUUCAUACUUGCAAAUCAAAUAGUCUUUCGUCCCAUCAGGAAUUUCGGUUUAAAUAUUAUUAAGCAUACGUUUGGCUGACAAUCAUUAUCCAGUUCAUGAUUUGGUUUCUUACCCUUAAUCAAUGGUUUCUAAGUGAAUAUAUGUAGAAGGAAAUCCGAAGUGUAGACAGUAGUAUCGAUAACUCUCAAUAUUCUCUAUAUAAUAGAAUAAACAGCGUCAUAGUGAUCGUCGCCUACAAGCAAGGUACAAAUACCAAAACGAGUGACUCACAUAGACAUCUCCCAACAAGAUGUAGUAGUGACUGACACAUGGACACAAUUAACUCGUAGAAAAGGAUAAGACCAUUGCACAGCAGCUCUUAUUUUACAUACUACUUAUGCUAACCAAAGUCAAUUAGUUGGGAUGGGUGGGAGAUGGAGGUUUGUGCGGUGGCUUGUGGGGCGGAGUUGAUGGCUUCUUUCCAGGAGCUUCUGGCUUUUUCAUCGGAGCUGAAGGAGGCUCAAUCUUAUGAGGCGGCUUGUAUGAGUCUUCUUUACUCUCGACAGGAGGGUGGCCAGGGUUGUGAUCAUAAUGUGGUGGCUUCUCUCCCUUAGGUGGCUUGCCAACUGGGGUUGGUGGCUUGUGUUCAGGAAGUGGUUUCUCUCCCAUGGGAGGUUUAGCAAUUGGGGUUGGUGGCUUGUGUUCUGGGAGUGGCUUCUCUCCCUUGGGAGGUUUAGUAGGUGACUUGUGUUCUGGAGGUGGCUUCUCCACCGGAGGCUUGUGCUCCGGUGGUGGCUUCUUGGUUGGAGGGGGCUUGGGGUAAUCAGCAAGAGAUGGGGUGGUGAGAACCACCAGUCCAAGGAACAACACUAGCAAGUAUGUGGGAGACAUUUUUGAGUUUGGGCUGAUCAGAUGAUGCAAAACUAAAGCAUUACGUGACCUUUUAUAGCAUGUAGCUCCCAAUACCCACUAAGUAUUGUGGGGUCCAUUUGUGCCCUACGGGGUUGAAAACUUAGACAAUUGGGCAAGGACCCACCUGACUAUGGAGGACUAGUGAGGUGUGAUCAUAGCUUUAGGAUUUUUCUUCCUCUGCAGCCGUCGUGCCGUUGGCAUGAUUUUCUUAAUCUUAAAUAAAGGCAUAGUUAUAGAGUUGUUUAAUCUCUAAAUGGGAUUUUAUAUAUAUCUUCAGAUAGCCAUUAAUAUAUUUGAUGAAGAAAGAAAGACAAGUGCAUACAACAUGUAUACGACUAGCUUUCAUGGAGUUCAUUUAUGAUCAGUUUUCCUGUACAUGUAAACCAGGAUCAUAUAUAUGUUUCUGUUCCACAACUAUUUUGGAAUCUUGUUUAUCAGUUUUUAUCAUUAUAAUGUCACAUAGGCUGCCAACUUGGGCGCUAAAAGAACCAGUUGGGCUAGUUCGUUUCAGAAUUUCAAUGUGGAUUCAGGAAUUGUUUUGUAAGAUAUGCGAAAUAGUAGAGGGAUGAAUAGUGUUUCAUUAAUAAAAGUGUCCUGUAAAUUAGAAGGUGUCAUAGAAACUAUAAUCAAUAAAUAACUUUUUUUCCCCACGGGUGGUGUUUCUUGUGGGGAUCAGUGACUGGUUUAGGUUCACCCAAAAUGAGUUCAGACUAAAAUUGGUUUGAGUCAAUGCCGUGUCUCUUUUUUCCAGAAAUCAACUAUUUUAUGCAUUGAAUAAAUCAUACAAAGAAAAUAUGAACGCCCGCAAAACCUAAACCCUGGUUGCUAACUUUCUAUGUUUCAGUUCUAUUCACGCAAGAAUAUUAGUUUAAGUUUGGGAAAAAUGGCAACUUACCUAGUGAUUACUUGGUUUUGGUUUGCGACUAUUUACGCAACCAACCAUGAGUUUGACUUUAACGUCAUGGGUUGAAGCCUCCUACAGGAAGGGAGAAAGCUCCACAGCUAGCUCCAAAAGAGAAUUAUCACAUUGAUAGCUCCAGAGAUUCCCAAGGGGACUGAAUCAAAGACAAGUUCCUCACUUUUUCUUCUUUUGAGGCCAAAUAUGAACCAAGGAUCACACAACCUCAUUCAACUUCAUAAGUUUGAUUUCAUGCAGUUGAACACUGGGUGAAGGCCAUGACAAGAAUUGAUUCAAAAAUUCUAUCACUCUUUUAAGUAAUGGAAGAUUAUUAUCUCUGAUUGGCAUCACAACAGCACAUGCUCCUAGAUCUUUCUAGACACUCCAUGCAAUGAAAGCACAAUGGAUCUUGUAACGAUAGAAACUAAGCCAUGCUACAGUACUAGAUGAUGAGGUAAAACUAGUAGACACGGGUGGCAGCCUAUAUGGGAGGGACACAAGUCUAAUUGAUUUGCAUUUCAGCAUUAUAGAUAGGUAUGUUUUGGAAGAUUUGUUCUGGAAAUACCGCACCAAGUAGGAUUCUUUUUCUCUUUAGUGGGUCCACUUGCAUGCCAAUUAACGAGUUGAAAAGUAUGAGCACCUACCUCGUGCUCGUGGAACCGAAGGUCAGUGAAGUGGGGCUCCUUUUGGCCUCGUGUAAACUUGAUUCAGAAGUGAAGUUAAUAGUCUUCCAUUCAGAUGGAUACAUGGGAAUUUUUCUCUUUUAUUUAUUUAUUUAUUUUUUUUUUGUGUGUGUAUGUCAAAGGAUAAUGAAUGAAGCGCGUUAGCUUGUUUUCUGACUGGAACCGCAGAUGUCCAAAUUGGAGUUCCUUCAUUUCUUACUUAGGAUUGUUACAUGUAUAAACAAGGUAUAAGAAAUAUGCCAACGUGUCUUGAGGAGUUAUUGAUUAGAAAUAACAAGUCACCCGACUGUAGAGUUCCAAGAUUUGAAUCUUCAGACCCUAUAGCAGCCUCUGGGGUACGUGGCAUCCUAUAGCAUAUUAAUGAAGGCUUUUUCGAUUUAGACUUCACAAUACCAAUUAAUAUGUAUGCACAAAAUGGAGAUGACCCCAAAAAAAACAGAAUCGCCAUAGUUUAUGAGGUUAAGGUGAUUCUCCACUUAAUAUCUACAUUAGCUAAUUAUGUAAAUCAAAUGAACUUCUAUUUUUCCUUUUUUUUUUUGGUUUAUGUCAAAUAGUAGCCCAUAAUUAACCCAACCAUUAGCCUGUUUGAAUUGAUUUCACAUGCACAAUGUUGUAGUAGUUCAUAUUUUGAAUUUUAUUUUUACAAAGGUAGUUAAGGAAAAUGAAGUAUAAUAAUUAUAAAAGCAGACUAUAUACACUACAAUAAUUGUUAGAAUGGUAUCUCAAAUUCUAAUUUAAAAUAUUAUUUUUUGUAAAAGAAAUAUUAUAUAGAAUAUUUCCUAAUUUUAUAAAUGAUUAUAAUUAGAUCUUUAUAAAAUAAGGAAAGUUGGUAAGAAUAUCUUUAUAAAUAUUUUAGGUCAUGAGAGAAAGAAAUGGGAUAAAAAUGUGAUGAAGAGGUGAAAUAAGAGAGUUGAUUAGGAUAUAGAUGUGAAGAAGAAAGGGAUUCAAUAUAUAUAUAUCUUUCAAUUACCACAUUAAAACCCUGUGAACCUUUUAUAUGGUUUACUUUAUUUUUAUAUUCCUCCUUUAAUAUAUUUACAUUAAUGCUUCCAUUGGCACAACAAUAACGAAUUACAAAUACAAGCAACAAGUCCCAUGUUUUAUUACCAAAAGCAGGUAAAAUCCACCUAAUAUAUUACAAUAUAUUCAUCCAAUAUUUUAGACCAAUUCUUCACCAUAAAUAUCAUAAUGUGGCUUUUGUUCUUUCUUAAAUUUAAAUUGAAUUGUCUUAUAUCAAUUUGUUUGUGAUUUUUUCAUUAACUUCACUUUCAUUUGGUUAUCUUUGGUUUUUGAAAAGUAUUAAGGAAUUAAUUAACAAAAUAAUGUUAAGAAAAAUAAUUUUCUCUCUUUUGAUUUUGAUUUUGUAGUAGAAAAAUAUAAUUAAAAUUAUUUAAAAAGUAUGUAAUUUUAAAUUAUUUAAUAUUUAGAUAAAAAAAAUAAGUCUAAUGAGUUUAAAAUAACAUAUAAAAAUAAUUUAUUUAUUUUAAAUUUAUUUUUUAUUUUCCAUUAUGUUCUCUUUCUCUUUUACUUUUUCAUAUUUUUUCUUACGAAGAAUCAAACACAACCUCAUAUUAUAUGUCAAGUGUUUGUCUAUAUUUGAGCAAUGUUAGAUACGGCCAUGGAUUCAUCAAACUAAACUGAUUUUAAUAGAUACUUCACAAAUUGAUUUAUACACUAAAUCAUUGGAUAGCAAUGAUGCAUUGGAAUUAAACGUAGGAUGAAGCUCGAAGAACACUGUUUGUGUAACAACAUAUUUAUGAAAUUAUGCAAAGGAUGAGCUUCGGGGUAGUAGUACAAGGUCAUUAAUGGAGAGCCGUGUUAAACCUUGAUUGUGAUUGGAUUCCGUUAUCAGCAACAGCAACCUUGUUUGUAACCUUGAAAGUCAUUCUGUCCACAUCGAAACUCCAAUUUGACGUUUGUAAUUACCAUUCCUGGAGUGUUCCUUGAUUGAAAUUUAAAUAAUAAUUGCGGCCCACAAGGAAUAUUUUCGAUUCUGUGGGAAUUUGACAAGGUUUGUUAGAGAAGACUGGUGACAUGUUGACUUCAAUGGUUCAAAUAGGAGACGUAUGUGGAUUUGGGGGGUUUAAUUGAAACUGAGUCCCUAUGGCUUUUUAAUAUUUGCAUUGAGCAGUCUCCAUGUGACUUCCUAAUUCCCACCAACCCUCCUGUCCAUGCUGUGAAACUAAAUUGUAAUUUAUCAGCCUUUGUCAAUGGUUUCUAAAUUAAAGAUAUAGACCAUGCAUGUACUUUAAUAAAAGCAAAUCUAAAGUGUAGAUAGCAGCAAUGGUGACACCCAAUAUUCUCCAUAAAAUAGAAUUAGAAUAAGCAGUGUUACAUUGUUCAUGAUCACCUACAAGCAUACAAGAACUUCCAUGAAUAACUCAUAGCAAUUGCCAACAGGGCGUCGUAGAGACUCAUACAUAGAACACUAUCCACCCAGAGGAAAGGACAAGACCAGUGCGCUGCAGCUCUUAUUUUUCACAUGUAUACCACCACUCGUAAUAACCAAAUUCACUCAGUUGGGAUAGGUGGGAGAUGGUGGUUUGUGGGGUGGCUUGUGGGGAGGAGUUGGAGGAGGCUUUAUUUUCUGAGGCGGCUUGUAUGAGUGUGCAGGAGGAUGCCCGGGAGUGUGACCAUAAUGUGGUGGCUUCUCUCCCGUAGGUGGUUUGCCAAAUGGGCUUGGUGGCUUCUCUCCCUUAGGAGGUUUACCAAUUGGGGUUGGUGGCUUGUGUUCUGGGAGUGGUUUCUCUCCCUUGGUAGGUUUGCCAAUUGGGGUUGGCGGCUUAUGUUCUGGGAGUGGCUUCUCUCCCUUGGGAGGUUUGCUAAUUGGGGUUGGCGGCUUAUGUUCUGGGGGCGGCUUCUCUCCCUUGGGAGGUUUGCCAAUUGGAGUUGGCGGCUUAUGUUCUGGGAGUGGCUUUUCUCCCUUGGGAGGCUUGCCAAUUGGGGUUGGCGGCUUAUGUUCUGGGGGUGGCUUCUCUCCUUUAGGAGGUUUGCCAAUUGGAGUCGGCGGCUUAUGUUCUGGAAGUGGCUUUUUUCCCUUGGGAGGUUUGCCAAUUGGGGUUGGCGGCUUAUGUUCUGGGGGUGGCUUCUCUCCCUUGGGAGGUUUGCCAAUUGGAGUCGGCGGCUUAUGUUCUGGGAGUGGCUUCUCUCCCUUGGGAGGUUUUGUUGGUGGCUUGUGUUCUGGAGAUGGCUUCUCCCCUGGAGGCUUGUGCUCCGGAGGUGGCUUCUGAAAUGGCGGGGGCUUGGGGUAAUGAGCAAGAGAUGGAGUACUG